UUUUACACUGUUGCCACAGGUUGUUUUUCAUGUCCACAGGUUGAAGCGACCCCAAAUAACAUGAUAUUUAGCCCCUGGAAUGUCAAUUUUACCUGGGGAACCCCACCAAAAACGCAGAGUUUACCCCGGAAUGUGAUUUUUACCCCCCACCUCCCCUAUUGGGCUAGUUCUGGGCUAGUUUUGAGUAACAAUUGGGCUGUAUUUGUUGUAAAAAACCUGGCAACCCUGCAGUAAGGUUCCAUUUGUUAACAUUAUUAAAUGCAUUGGCUAACAUGCACUAACAGUCAAUGAACAAUAUUUCAAAGCCUUCAUUAAUCUUUGUUAAUGUUAGUAUAAAUAUACAUGUUUAUGAUUUGUUAUCAUGUAUUUUAUGCAUUAUGCACUGCUGCAAAUUCUACAAACACUUUCCCCCUGCAGAAUGUGAAUAUUUUAGACAUUUUUAUUCCAAAAAUUAAAAUAACAAAUUUUUACUUUCAACAGAUGUGGUCUGAUUUUCAAUAGUUGAGCAGGAACACUCACCUUGUAAAAUCUGAUAUUAAUAACAGCACACUGGAGCAGAACAACAAGGGGUCUUGUUUUACAGGUCUCCACAAUACAAGGCUCAGAAGAGAAGAGAGCUUUUGGCGGACAUCAUGUCUAACAUCUUUGUGCUGACUCAUUCCUCUGUUCUCACCGGGAAGAUUAAAGGUUCCAUCCCGCCUGUGCUAUUGAUCCUCUCAGUGCCGCCGACACAAACUACAUGCAGACGUUUGAUCUGAGACAGACAGAUGUGCUCGAGACUAAAAGUGAUGGAGAAUUCUUGCCUACCGAGUCCCUCUGAGGUUUGAGGGCUAUGGAUCACUUUGCUGCUUUCAUAGCUUACCUUGGGCAACUUAUUUGAUAAUAAACAUGAUGUGAGGCUCUGGAUAUGAAACUUUUGGUUCACUGACAUAGUUGGACAUCAAAUAACUAGGGAUCAUUUUUUAUCAUUUAAUUUUUUUCCCUGAAGUCUACUUAUAAUAUUAGUUGAGGUUUUUGGCACGCAAAUGACACAGGACUAUCUGAGCUGUAUGAUGUUUUUGACACAUUGCAGACACAUUUUGACUCCUUAGGGGUUAAUCAAAU
This is a long non-coding RNA of Megalobrama amblycephala (Wuchang bream), 1104 nucleotides long. RefSeq lists it as uncharacterized. The transcript is spliced from 3 exons. NCBI's taxonomy places the organism in Eukaryota, Metazoa, Chordata, Actinopteri, Cypriniformes, Xenocyprididae. The record is from RefSeq and is a predicted model, not a curated record.